GCGGUCAAACAACAGGAAAGUCGUUUCGUAAGACUACGAAUCUGAGGGUCGGACGUUCGAAUCGUUCCGGGCGCGCCA
RNAcentral lists this transfer RNA (78 nucleotides) under Sphingomonadales bacterium. RNAcentral describes it as "tRNA-Arg". The record is from RNAcentral. Lineage: Bacteria; Pseudomonadati; Pseudomonadota; Alphaproteobacteria; Sphingomonadales.